RNAcentral lists this long non-coding RNA (264 nucleotides) under Equus asinus (donkey). Its description in RNAcentral is "lncRNA (ENSEASG00005027923.1)". Lineage: Eukaryota; Metazoa; Chordata; Mammalia; Perissodactyla; Equidae. The record is from RNAcentral.
GUUGAUCAAUCCAGAUUGAUAGUGUAGUUGUUGGUCUUCCGUUUUCUAAACCUGUUUCAAGUAAUAGACUUCUGAUCACCCUUUGUUAUUUCAGAUGAAAGAGAAUGAACAAAAAUAGAAAUGAUGGGCUCUGUGGAAUCAUUUGCUGGUAUUAAGUUUGGAUUUCAGAGGUUGGGAGCGGUCCUUUCCCCACAUCAGAAACCAGCUGUAACUCUAGGUCAGAGCGCAUUAAAAUGAGCCACUUCUGAAAGAGCAGCGCCCAGG